AACCUUCACCUCGUCACCAAGUUUUUCCUUUUGUUUUCUUAGCUCCUCCUCCUCCUCCUCCUCCUCCCUUACCUCAAGCUUUCUUUAUUUACUGUUUGAUUUCAACUAUUUCUUUGAUCAGAUCUCUCUAAGCUAGAGAAAUGAAGAAAGCUGGGUUGAAAUUGGGUUUCCACGAUGACAAAGCCAAGAAAAAAGCCAUGAAGACAGCCUCUAGUCUUUCAGGGGACGUUGAUCCCAUAGUGGCCAAAUCGAGAAAGCUGUGCGGCGCAGAAAUGGUUACAGCACGACCAGCAAAAGAGUCUGGAAAGAGAAAAGCCGAGCCCAAGAAAGAACAGUAAAAGAAGCAAGAAGAUCAGAAGAUAGCACACCAUGUAGCUGAGCUGGUCAAGGCUUACGAGGCCUAUAAUCCUCGUACGACCACCUAGACGGUGUCGCUGAGCUGAUCAGAAGAGGAAAACCCAGAUGCUUGUGUCAUCUCUUAGUUUGUCAAUCACAUGUUAAAAAGAAAUCUAUUAUAGAAAGAUGAAAUAAGUGAAAGAAAAAUAUAGUUUUGUUGGAGAUUUUCGAACAUUUGGGUGGUUAUUACAACUUCAUUAGCGAUUAGACUACCGCUGUAUAAAAGUUGAAGUGAUUUUUCAUUAA
Populus nigra (black poplar) is the source of this 642-nucleotide long non-coding RNA. RefSeq lists it as uncharacterized. NCBI's taxonomy places the organism in Eukaryota, Viridiplantae, Streptophyta, Magnoliopsida, Malpighiales, Salicaceae. The record is from RefSeq and is a predicted model, not a curated record. The transcript is spliced from 3 exons.